RNAcentral lists this unclassified non-coding RNA (399 nucleotides) under Lepechinia calycina. RNAcentral's name for it is "partial external transcribed spacer". The record is from RNAcentral. Lineage: Eukaryota; Viridiplantae; Streptophyta; Magnoliopsida; Lamiales; Lamiaceae.
GUAUGGGCAUGUUGGAUCCCUGCUCGGGCAGCGACGGCAUCUCACCCACGACUCUUCAGUUGUUGGCUCGAGCACUUGCUCGAUCGAUGUUGGCUUUCCUGUGCUGAGUACCUAUCGCGAAGGCAUUCCGUCGGCUAUGGUUAUCUAUUUCCCGCUUUGUACUGCCGCUCCCUGUGGGCAAGCGGUGCGGGGUGGGCUGAAUAGCGCACGUCGUGUAUUGCACUGUGUUUGUCUCUACGGGUGUUCGGGUUGACAAUCCACGACGUGAUGCUCGCUGUCUCGGGUACGGAACAUUAUGUGGGUAUGAGGCCGUCGGUCUCCUAGCACCACGAACAAGCGUUCUACGCUUCGUGCGGACGACGGUUGGUUCGGUCUUUGGCCGUGCUCUUGUGGCUCGGU